Molecule: ribosomal RNA, 497 nt
Filed under: uncultured bacterium
Lineage: Bacteria
Description: partial 16S ribosomal RNA
Rfam family: Bacterial small subunit ribosomal RNA
Source: RNAcentral
GAUGAACGCUGGCGGCGUGCCUAAUACAUGCAAGUCGAGCGAACGGACGAGAAGCUUGCUUCUCUGAUGUUAGCGGCGGACGGGUGAGUAACACGUGGAUAACCUACCUAUAAGACUGGGAUAACUUCGGGAAACCGGAGCUAAUACCGGAUAAUAUUUUGAACCGCAUGGUUCAAAAGUGAAAGACGGUCUUGCUGUCACUUAUAGAUGGAUCCGCGCUGCAUUAGCUAGUUGGUAAGGUAACGGCUUACCAAGGCAACGAUGCAUAGCCGACCUGAGAGGUGGAGCACCCACAAGUGAAGUGAGCCACGGCCCAGACCCCGACGGGAGGCAGCAGGGGCGAAUUUUGGACAAGGGUCGAAAGCUUGACACACCAACUCCGCGUGGAUGAAGAAGGUUUUCGGAUUCUAAAACUAUGUUAGUGGUGAAGAACGAAAGUGAGAGUAACCGUGCCCAGCUUGACGGUACCUAAUCAGAAAGCCACGGCCAACUACGUG